AUGAAUAUCAUCACUCAUAUCAGGCAUGUUUAUAAAAAUGAGAGAUUAUGUCCUUUUUGGCAUAUUUCAUCUUCUUUAGGACACAAAGAGAAGCUUGCUUCAGUUUGCUGUCACGUAAAAUUAGAAGACAUGAAUGGCCAGAUGGAUGGAAAAAUAGCAGCACACUACUAAAAGUCCUUGCCACAACGCUGUCUAGAAUAGGAUAAGACAAUGUUAGUAUGAUACUGAUGAACUGAUGCACAGCAGAGGAGUAGAAAUGAAAUUAUAGCUUUUAUAGGUCUUACAUGGGCUUCUCUGCUGGGAUCCCUGGAAUAAACACCGUGUAGCUUCAUCUGUCUGGUGUGGCUCCAUAAGGACAGGAGUAAGAGAAAAAUGGAGGCCAGUGUUUCCACAAAAGGAAGGAUGAACAUCCUCUGAAGGAGAAACAGAGAAGUGAAAUCAUGCAUGGUCUCCAUAUAGUUAAAUGUCAAGUUGCCUUUUAUUAUUACCCAUUCUUGGAUUAAACUAUUUAUUAUUUCUUUCAAAAUGAAAGUUGUGCAGAAAGAGAUCAUUGCCUCUAGUACAACAAAAAGAAGCACCUUGUGAAUUCUCUAUUUCAUCCAGAGGAAAAUGGGUUUGGAGAAGUUGGCUACCUUGAAGAAAUGGAAGACACUAAGUGGCUGGUACAGUACAGGCAGAAAUAGUUGGAUCCUGUCCAGAGAAUGUCAAAACUUACUGCAAGAUUCUUAGAAUCAGGCAUUUUCUCAUAGCCUAUAUUGAAAGAGAUAGCUAAAAUUGUUUCCACAGGAAACAUAUCCUGGAGAUGGCCAAGCAGUUGAGAAUAAAAUCAAUCAGGGAGACCUUUCAGUUCCUGGUUCAAUGAUGUUUACCAAUACAAUGAAUCCAUUUCCCACAAUCCCCGUUAUGAAUUAUACAACAGGAACUAUUAUAAACAAUGCCUCCUGAAUGCUUGACAUGCCUGUACAUAGUGAACGUCUGCCUUCAAUACACCAUUGACUGAUUGAUUCUAGCUGCACUCUUAUAGAUUUAUGUAUCCGAAGGAGUGACUUCUUUCUGUUUUUUUGAUGGCCAUUGGUGGAGUCUGGAGAGAUCCAAGGUGUGCUCUAAAAUUAGAUUUCAACUAAAUUGUAAAAUAUACAAGUUUUUUUUCCCCCUUGAAGGUAUCAGCUAGUGAUUUUCAAGGCAAAUAUUAUAUUCCCUGCUGCUAUUGACUCUGGUUAUAUUUUACAUGGAAAGUUCUGCAUUCAAAUUUGAACCCCGAUUUGUUAACAUGCAAAAUUAAAGUAGAUUCUCCUUUAUAGUUCUAUAAUGCCAUCCUUUGCUUAAAAAUUAUUCAUUUGUGUGAUGUAUCCCUUUGAUUCAGCUAUCACCCUGGGCUAGAAACUCUAAGCCCCCAUCUAGAAAAAUGCAGUAUAUCUUUAGAGUUUAUGAUCAGCAUAUUUCUUCAUUGUCAACCUCACCAAUACAGAUUGAUUAAAAAAUAUGCAAGUUUAAGAAAAUGGAGAAAACAGCUCUCUGAUAUAAUACCAAAAUCUUUUAGAGAGUAUGGAAGUUUUAGGCUGGGCGCAGUGGCUCAUGCCUGAAAUCCCAGCACUUUAAGAGGCUGAGGCAGGUGGAUCACCUGAGGUCAGGAGUUCGAGACCAGCCUGGCCAACAUGGUGAAACCUCGUCUCUACUAAAAUACAGAAAUUAGCUGGGCGUAGUGGCGUACACCUGUAAUCCCGGUUACUUGGGAGCCUAAGGCAGAAGAAUCACGUGAACCCGGGAGGCAGAGGUUUCAG
This 1781-nucleotide long non-coding RNA is filed under the name Macaca mulatta (Rhesus monkey). RNAcentral's name for it is "lncRNA (ENSMMUG00000057785.1)". The record is from RNAcentral. Lineage: Eukaryota; Metazoa; Chordata; Mammalia; Primates; Cercopithecidae.